Molecule: long non-coding RNA, 990 nt
Filed under: Capsicum annuum
Lineage: Eukaryota; Viridiplantae; Streptophyta; Magnoliopsida; Solanales; Solanaceae
Description: long non-coding RNA (CANN_LNC018594)
Source: RNAcentral
CCCAAUAAAAAAUUAUAAAUUCAUUAAAAAAGCAUUAUAACCCAAUACCGAUAAAUCAAUAACAUGUUUAUUGGUUUGAUUUAUCGAUUUUUGCAUAACCCUACAUCAAACUAAAGUUUAUGCUGGGGAGAUAUUUCCUUUUUUUCAAUCCUAUGAUGCUGCACCAAAUUUGGUUGACCAAAAUAAUUUUUGGUAUUGUCAAGAGCAGAGGCUAUUUUAUCUGGAGGUGGCCAUUCCAUUUUGACGUAGUGAUUCCACCCUCCUUCAAGAUUAUCCUGGAUUCUAGUAAUAUCAGCAUGGAUAAGUUGAAUAGGAGUAUCCCAAAUAGAGAAAGUAAACUGACUACCAUCACUGAACCCAUUGAUGUAGAAUUCAGUGACCUCUCUUUGCAAGCUUGCGUUGUACAUCUUAUUGAAGAAACAAGUUAGACCACCCUUGAUAUGCUAACUUAGUGAGCAAUAUUGACAUCUUAGGACCACCAAAACCAGUGACAACUCGAUCCCUGACCAUUGAUUGCUUCUGAAACUUAAUAAUGUUAGAGAGUUGAGAAGCGGGAGACACAGCGGUAGGAAUUUGAUCAGGUUAGGAAACAUUAUAUUAGUUGACUCAGCUUCAGAGUAAACAGAAGAAGCAGGUCAUACAACCUUUUUCUUUUAAGAAAAUUUUGAUUUUGAAGGAGCUGGAGAUUUAGGAGAUAAUCUGAACGAAACUUUGGAUCAUUAUUUAAAAGCAGGUUUAGGAAUGGGACAGGCAACACUUAGAUCUUUGUUUACUCGAUUAAUCAGUAACUCCUCCUCAGUAGGAGCAACUGGAGGUGAUACAGAAGUAGGAGAUGAGAAGACCUGGAUUUUUUUUUUAGUUGCUAAGGCAACCUCAAGAUUUGCAUCCUCUUGUGUAUGUUUGGAUCUAGUAUGAACCAUUCUAGAGGAAGUAGGAGCAGGGGAGGGAUAAGGAACACUUCUAUCUUUAGGAAUAGGAAUAGAUUCACCA